RNAcentral lists this unclassified non-coding RNA (362 nucleotides) under air metagenome. RNAcentral describes it as "partial contains small subunit ribosomal RNA, internal transcribed spacer 1, and 5.8S ribosomal RNA". The stretch from base 1 to 46 matches the Rfam family "Eukaryotic small subunit ribosomal RNA", at positions 1786 to 1831 of the family's 1831-position model. The record is from RNAcentral.
AAGUCGUAACAAGGUUUCCGUAGGUGAACCUGCGGAAGGAUCAUUACUGAGGUUACCGGGGGUGAGAUUUAGAUGGUUUGCUGCUGGCGUCUUCGGGCGCAUGUGCACGGCUGUCUUGCUCGCCUUCGUUCCUUCCAUCAACCCCUGUGCACUAUAUUAGGAUUAGAGAGAAGCGCGUCGUUAAGGGAUUAACCUAGUAUUUGUGGGUCCUGCCCCGGAGAAAGGUUAAUCUCUGAUCUGCGGCGCGUGGUAUCCCGACGUCCUUCUUAAACACAAAUCACUACAUAUGUCAUGUCAGAAUGUAAGUCCUUUAAUGGACGCUAAAUGUAAUACAACUUUCAACAACGGAUCUCUUGGCUCUC